CCUGAGACUCAGGUGCUGGAACUAAAUUGUGGAGGUAAUUUCAGGAAGCAGAAGAAGGGCAUGGAGAAAGUAAGACCGGGAAGAGAAAAGGGAAGAAUCUGAUUGUGCCCAAGGAAGAGCUUCCUAACUGUGACAAAGGAGGUAAAGGAGGUGGUGACAUGCCCAUCCCUGGGAAAUUUUAAACUCAGCUGGCCAGCAAAUGGCUCCAGCAUGGCCUGGUCUGGGAGUAGGAGACUGAAAGAAAUGACCUCCAGCUGUCCCUCUCAUGACCAAGGACCUCUGGCUUGUCGUGAGUGUUCUGGCCAGCUGCACAGCACGGAUUAAUGGGCCAAAGGGAGCCGCUCUCUGAUCUGCGCUAAGCUUUUCAGGUUCUGUGGCCACCGCCAUCAGCCACAGAUUUAAUGAGAUCCGAGGCUUAAUUACCACAGUGCAGGGCUGCCAGCACUCUCUCCUGAUGACUUUAUCUUGGCUCCUGGAAGGAUGGGGGUGACAACAGUGUGUCGGCAGGAGAGGAGAGCCUAAAGCAGGGACUCUGGACCCUGGUGUUUCGGGGGGAUGUGGGCUGCAAGAGUAGGGUGGAGG
Molecule: long non-coding RNA, 582 nt
Filed under: Homo sapiens (human)
Lineage: Eukaryota; Metazoa; Chordata; Mammalia; Primates; Hominidae
Description: non-protein coding lnc-PAFAH2-1:1
Source: RNAcentral